Non-coding RNA from Prunus avium (sweet cherry), 597 nucleotides. Lineage: Eukaryota; Viridiplantae; Streptophyta; Magnoliopsida; Rosales; Rosaceae. The record is from RefSeq and is a predicted model, not a curated record.
AUAACGGUCAUUUGAAGUUGACCGGAUCAGUUGUGGUCCUAUGAAAGAAGGGUAGGAAGCUGAGACUGUCGGGGGGGACUGACUUAACAAAUAACGCCUUUGAAAACAUCGUUAAAUUGGAAAUCGCUGAAUACGACGUCGUCCUUCUGCUUUCAGCUGCAAUUGUCUUCGUAAACGCAUACAUGUGCGAUCGAGGUCUCUUGCUUAUCCCCCAAACGCCGAUCUCAUCAGAGAACUGGUAAUAACAUUUGAAACCAAAGAAGUUCAGUAUUAUAUUAUUCGCUACAAUUUUUGUGAAAUGGCGGAGAAAGCAUGUGUCAAGCGCCUCCAGAAGGAAUAUAGAGCACUCUGCAAAGUAUGACUUCUUUUGUUCAUCUCAACUUGUUUUCAAAUCUCUGUUAUAAUCAGUUCAUAUCAUUUAGAUCCUAAUUAUGUUCUUUGUGAUUAAAUUUGCUUGCUUGACCAGUGUAUAUAUUCUGAUGUUUCACUGCAAUAUCAGUAUAUGGUUCUCAUAUAUACUUUUAGUGUAAUCUUUUGGUCUUGUUACAUUCAUAAAUUGGACAGUUAAAUCUCUCCUUUUGUUUUCUUUCAGUUAGU